Molecule: ribosomal RNA, 497 nt
Filed under: uncultured bacterium
Lineage: Bacteria
Description: partial 16S ribosomal RNA
Rfam family: Bacterial small subunit ribosomal RNA
Source: RNAcentral
GAUGAACGCUGGCGGCGUGCCUAAUACAUGCAAGUCGAGCGAACAGACGAGGAGCUUGCUCCUCUGACGUUAGCGGCGGACGGGUGAGUAACACGUGGAUAACCUACCUAUAAGACUGGGAUAACUUCGGGAAACCGGAGCUAAUACCGGAUAAUAUAUUGAACCGCAUGGUUCAAUAGUGAAGGACGGUUUUGCUGUCACUUAUAGAUGGAUCCGCGCCGCAUUGGCUAGUUGGUAAGGUAACGGCUUACCAAGGCAACGAUGCGUAGCCGACCUGAGAGGGUGAUCGGCCACACUGGAACUGAGACACGGUCCAGACUCCUACGGGAGGCAGCAGUAGGGAAUCUUCCGCAAUGGGCGAAAGCUUGACGGAGCAACGCCGCGUGAGUGAUGAAGGUCUUCGGAUCGUAAAACUCUGUUAUUAGGGAAGAACAAAUGUGUAAGUAACUAUGCACGUCUUGACGGUACCUAAUCAGAAAGCCACGGCUAACUACGUG